Molecule: ribosomal RNA, 559 nt
Filed under: uncultured bacterium
Lineage: Bacteria
Description: bacterial SSU rRNA
Rfam family: Bacterial small subunit ribosomal RNA
Source: RNAcentral
CGGGUGAGUAACACGUAGGCAACCUGCCCGUAAGACCGGGAUAACUACCGGAAACGGUAGCUAAUACCGGAUAAUCAAGCUUCUCGCAUGAGAGGCUUGGGAAAGGCGGUUCUGAAUUUAUUCAGGGCUGUCACUUACGGAUGGGCCUGCGGCGCAUUAGCUAGUUGGUGGGGUAACGGCUCACCAAGGCGACGAUGCGUAGCCGACCUGAGAGGGUGAACGGCCACACUGGGACUGAGACACGGCCCAGACUCCUACGGGAGGCAGCAGUAGGGAAUCUUCCGCAAUGGACGAAAGUCUGACGGAGCAACGCCGCGUGAGUGAUGAAGGUUUUCGGAUCGUAAAGCUCUGUUGCCAGGGAAGAACGUCUUCUGGAGUAACUGCCAGGAGAGUGACGGUACCUGAGAAGAAAGCCCCGGCUAACUACGUGCCAGCAGCCGCGGUAAUACGUAGGGGGCAAGCGUUGUCCGGAAUUAUUGGGCGUAAAGCGCGCGCAGGCGGCUGUUUAAGUCUGGUGUAUAAUCCUGGGGCUCAACUCCGGGUCGCACUGGAAACUGGA